CUAUGCCUUCUAUGGGACUUGUUGCUACAGUCAUUCUGCUUUGGACAUGCCAGUUACACAAACAGAGAAAGGGAUAGGUGUUGCUUCUUUUGGACUGUGUGACAGUGGUGCUGGCAGCACAGAGAGACUUGAGCUGAAGUAACUUUCUUCCUUUAGAAGAAUAAAAAUCUGAAAAUAAUAAAUAUCUGGAUUGCAUCUAGAGCAUUUCUCCUGACAGCUGAGAAGGAACAAAUUUCCAAGGGCUCAUUUUUUUUUUCAGAUGUACCCAGAUGCACCUUAGCCUGACCCUAUGGGAAAAUGCAUGCUUGACUCCAGAAGCUGACCUGGUUGGUUCAGACGCCUGGUCUGACAGCUAUGCUGCCACCACCCAGUGGGCAAGGCAACUUUCAGACUGAAACUGGUCAGAGCCAACUGCUCGCUCAUGCCUUCUCUUCCACCAGCACAGCUGUACUGGGACAGACCAGAGGUCUGCCUGGGCCAGCCUCUUGUUUCGGAUGGAGGCCAACCAUUUAUAUGUAUAUAUAAACAUACACAUUUAAGACAAUAAGGUAAGUAUGAACUGAUUUUCCUCUCCUGACUUUUCUGAGCCACAUCAUUGUCUUAAAAUACGCUCCGUUCUUACAGUCUUCUAGCUCUUGUGUUUCCUUUGUAUCUUCUGAACAGAAGGAAAAGGAAAUGUUCUAAUCUCCUCCAAAUCCAACCAAAUACUUGUAAAAUUAAGAGAGGAUGUACAACCAGAAUGAAUGUUUUAGACAUAGAGGAAUAGUUUGAGCAGUUUGUGUUGUUGCUCUUCAGUAAUUCCUGUUCAGCAGCUGGGGGAAUGACUAGCACUGGUAGUCACACACGUGCAACAGAGACAUCACCAACCAGCAAGAGUAGCUUCAGGAAAAUAAUUUGAGCAUGAAGGGAUAGAUGUUUGCUACUGAGAAGUGUCUCCAGUACACCAUAUGUGUAAGCUUGUACCUGGAACUGGAAAAAUAACUGUGUGUCUGUGUCUCUCUGUCACAGGAAGCUGUCUCUGCACAGUUUGGCCAGGCCCCGUGCCCCGCUCACCUAUGCAUCCAGUUUACCUAGAACGGUGCUGUAAGUGCCCCUCGUUGCUGUCACAGUGCAGACAUUUGCUGUGUUCUGUACAAUUGGUCAUGUUGCAAAAUACAUUAGUACCUGAGGGUAAGUGAAUCCCCCAAACCUCCCUUUCAGCCAGGUUCUGUUUGAAACUCAUGCUUUUAGCACUUCAUAAAAAUACCUGGCUACACCUUUCUCUUGGCUCCCCUCCCUUCUCCAGGGUAGAUCACAAUACUUCAACAGAGCUGAAAUAGCUGUUGUUGGGCAUAACAUUGUGUCUAACGCUGUUUGCUAAUGUGCUUGGAUGUGACCUCUUCUAGUCAGGAUAAGGCCACAGUGAGAAUGAAGUUUAAUAUCGAAGUAGAAUUGUACAAAUUUAGAGAAGACACCACUCUAGGUCAUUUUGUCCUAUGCUUUCAUCCAGGCAGGACUGAAUGUAACUGAUUUCUAUUCUUGAAAGGCUGCUUGACAUUUCUGUCUUCUGCAGCGGUUAGACUCCGGUUUGUACUUGCAUGCUGAUGCAACAGCUUUUGCUCAGUUUGAAAGCAACGGAAAGAAUAGCGAGGAGUCCUUGAUAGGCAUCUAAGCAAUAACUUCCUCUUGCAAGCAAACCUUGCUGGCAUAGGUCAGUACAUCAGCGCUCUGAACUGAGUCUUGUAAAUGAGUGGCAUUUAAAAUUCAUACAGCUUUUAAUAUGCCCUGGGCCAGCCGGGUUUCAAUUACACCAAUGCCUGUGCCUUCUCUUUGAUGUGCAGUGGUUAACCCUUUUGAUGCGCUCUCACCUGUGCCAGUGAUGGUGUGUGCCUGCCAGGAACAGAUCAGCGUACACUGACAAGCUUCCCAAGGCAGGGAGCUGGCCUUGCACUCAGCUGUUUCCUUUUUGUUACUGUUUUAAAUGUCAUUAGUGAGGGGUGGAAGUAUUCUUUUUCUGAGGGGGGUUGGUGGGAUUUGUCACAGUCUAGGGCAUGGCAAGGUGUUUUUUCCUCUAUUCUUCUGCCAUAUGUGAGUGGUACUUGAGCAUUUCCCCUUGCCCCUGAGAACCAUCCAGCUGCAGGGAGCUACCAGCUUCUCACUGGGCACUGGCAGCAGCUGUUGGGCUGUGGGCAUAUUUAUCUUCAUCGGAUGCCCCUGUCACCCUGCCUGUCUUGUGGCUUGCACUACAUUCUAUUUUUCCUUAUUAAAAAGAGCUGUUCCAUAUUCUUCUAGGAUCUGGUGUUGCCACUGUUGUUUGACAGCGUAAAUAGUUAGAAGGGUUUGCAGAAAAGGCUGUCAGAUGGGUUAAGCUAAUGAUCCCUUAGUUAUGAUCCCUAGCAAUCUUGACUUUAUUUGGCAGGAAAAGUAAUUUAAGGAGUGAACUGCUUAUUAAAAUGACCUCUACUGCAUGUGUCUGUGCUCAGUAAUUGAUACAGAUUAGCCAAGCCAGGAGUUAGUGUAGCUUUUGAUAAUGGAUUAAUCUUGGAAAGCUGAAAGCUUUUUUUUUUUUUUUUUUUUUUCUUCUUCUGAGCAGCUCAGAACAAGAGUCUAUGGUUGUUGCAGGCUUCUGUGUCUGUCCUGUGCAACAUCCCCUUACUCCAGCUUCUUAAAGGAUGAGUGCAUUCAAAAUCUCUGAAAAAGACAUUGCACUAUGCAAUGAUACAUUUCAGCAGAAAAUGCCUUCAGAGCAGGGACAUGAAAACAACAGUUAUAAGCACAAAGCAGCUGUGAGAUUUAGAACUAACGGGUGGUUAAUUGUAUUUUAUUCUAUAUUGCACAUGGAAGAAUGCCAGGGCAAGCAUGCACACAUUGUCCAAGGAGCUCGCAGCAGCAGUUGUGUACAUUAAGGGAAUAGCCUUAAGUUAUUUCACUAAUUCAGUUUCAGUGUUGAUGUUCUCUGGGAAUGCAUGCAUGUACCAGCAGAGGGCAUGCAGACUUCAUUCAACAGGGACAUGUGCUAAUUAAUAAAUCUCAGAUGUAGGUAGGAGUCUACCUGCAUCCACAUUUGCAGACAAAGCGCUCAUUCAGCCAUGCAGGAGCUGCCCACUCCAGCAGACUUGUAUUAUCCGAAGCAGGCAGGAAGCGAGGGGGUAUGAAGCACAUGUUUGGAAUUACAUAAUCCGUCAUCAAACUGUGAUCAUGUUUCAUGUUCAUGCUUAGUCAGACUGUGGCAGUGAUUAGGGUUGACUAAACAGUUACCGUACCUCAUUUUUUCCAUCGUGCAGCAUCUGCUAGCUCUGUUGAUCAUUAAAGUCUCAAUCUAGGCAAGUGACUUGUAUUGUGGAUCAGACCCACAAUGAACCGGAGGAAAUCAGGGGGAGAGAGUCAGCAGUUUUUAUAAUAUAUUAACAGAGGGCUAUUGGGAAAUGUGAACUUAAGGAAGGCUAUCUGCAUUUUAGAAACAAAAUCAAAGAUAAACAGUACAGCAGAAUCUUCUGUUUUAUCCUGCCCGAUGCACUUGCAGUACAUUCAUAAUCUUCAUAAAGGAGAAAAUGAAUUGGUGAAAUAGGCUGUUUUAUGAUAAUAUCCCAUAUGUUAUCAGAUUCAUGCAGGCAGAAUCACGCUAAUGAAGAGAAAUUGCAGUUUAUGUAGGGCUUGCAGGCCUCGCUCAGGCAGAUUAACAGUGGCUAGGGUAAGAGGCAGCACAUUGCCUUGGCAGGCUGCCCGAGAGCUAAUCAAUGCAGAUGGAGUCAAAGGGACUGCCAGUCUGAUUCCCAACAGUUUCAUCUCGGAACAGGAAUGACUGCAUCCAUCAGUGCUCCUUGAUAAGACAUCCUUUAAGCUCGUGGUAAGAAUGAACCCAUUCGGGGAGGCAGAGGCUGAGCAGUACUAAAAGCGAUGACUCCACAUGCGGUGCAGGGUAGAGGUGGGUGUUUAAUUUUAGCUGCUGACCUGAUUUCGUGCUGAAUGACAAGUAUCUAUAGGAAUCCUCAAGGGCCAAUCAGUUGCUAUGUUAGUGAAGCUUUUGGAGAAAUGCAUUUAAUUUUAUACAAGUGGUGUCUUUAAGGAAGCAAUUAUGAUUUCUGAAUGCUUCAGGUUGAUUUCGGCUAGAGCUAAGCUGAAAUUCUUCCAUGUUCCAUGUUGAUGAAGCUGGAGUCUAACUGUUGUGUACUUAAUAUGGCACAUGCUAAUGUUUUGAAAUGCCCUCUUUUUCCCAUGUGGCAUUCGAUUUUUUCACCAGCUGAGAAGUAAAUGCAGUGCAGAACCAAAAUGAUCGAAGUCCUUUUGUCAUUUGCAUGCACAUCCUGAAAUGAAGUUCAGAAAAUGAAGCAACUGCAGAACCUCAUCACUGAGGGAAGUCCUUUGCAGAGGGUUCUCCUUUGUGGCUUUGUACUUGAGGAAAGUGUACUUGUGGUGACCCAAGAGAGGGCUUUUGUUUUUCAAGAGGAAGGCUAGGCAAGGUCUCUCAGUCCACAGAUUGAGUUCAAGAAAAAAAGUGAGAGUUGAGCCCACACAUGGGGCAGAUGCUUCACUUUUCACUGGUGAUGAAUCCUGGCCACUAUGAACAUUAGUCAUGGGAUUAUUUCCCUUGGCGUUGUGUGCUUCUAAUCAAAAAGGAAGUCUGCUUUCAGCCAGGAGUUAAGCAUCAAAUUGUCCGCUGUUAUUCAAUGUUUAAGUAUGAAGCAGUGGGGCUUUUACUGCUGCUAAUUUUGUGGCAGCAUACUCAGUUGUUCUGUCCAUACCCAUUCCUGCCACUGUUGUUGGCUUAUAGAGCUAGGGUUUGGAUCCAGGUUUGGUUCAUGCCCAUCUUUGCAUAGUCGUAUUGAUUGAUCUAAAAAUGUGUUUCAAGAUCAUUUUGCAUUAGCCCCCCUAUUUUUGACUUCAGUGAAGAAUGGCUGGGCCCAAACGCCAGGCGUUGUGGAUGGCAUUUGUUCUUCUUGUGGCUAGCUGCUGACUGGAACCUCAUCUGCACGUUUGUAUUGGCUUUUUAUUUGCAGUUGUCUCUGAAUCUGUGCGGUGAUUACUUUGUUGACAAAUGGUUUUUCCCUUGAAUAAGAUACAGUGACAAGAUGUUCUGAAUGUCCCAGGAGGGCUCUGGCAUUUGUCCUCAGGACAAUGGAAAACACCCUGGCAUUCUCUGCCUUCUGUGAAUCUGCCUUUCAUUUGUGUGUUGUAUGGAUUCUUCUAAGGAUAUGGAAAGAAAAAUGCUAAAAUGUGGUCAUUCCAGGAAAAGUGAUGGCUCAGAAAAGCCUUUUACUCGGCAUACCUGCAGUACCUGCAGUUUUAGGGUAUUGCAACUCACCCUUACUUGCUUCAGUAAUUUUUUUAUUAUUAUUAUUUUUUUUACCACAGUUUGAAGAUGACACAGCAAAAAGAGAAGGAUAGAUUUGAUUCCACUUGCUUUGUUUUGACUGAGUUCCCAUCCCUUGCACCCAUGCAAAUGGCUUGAGGCUCUGAGGUUGCACAAACAAUGCAGACAGUACAAUAGAAUGACAAUGGGGUUUUCACACGGGUAUAGUGGGAGCUGUGGGAUGUUUCCUCAAUUGGUGAUGUGCGGGGAGAAAAGUGCUUAAUGUGUCUUCUGUUUGAGCUUGAGUCUGCAGGGCUGGCACCUAAAGGAGAGGAAUAUCCCUGUCCCUAUUGUUGGUGUGCUAACUAGUCUGGAAAUGGAAUCAUGAUUGAAAUGCAGAGAAAUGCGGCAUCAUGGGAUGCUAGGAUUGGUCCAUCUUCAGAAGGGGAAAGAAGCUCAAGAUUUUUGUACUUUAUAUAAUCUCUUAAUCACAGCUCUCAUGAAACAAAAGCCUUCCAAAAGCAUCCUUUCUUUAACAGUUAAAGUCCUCCCCCCCAAAAAACAAAACAAAACAAAAAAACACACACAAAAAAAUAGAAAAAGCCUCAUCUAAGUAAUGGACUUGCUGAACCCACCCUGCUGCUGCAGCUGGCUACUAAGGACAAACCCACCCUUUUCCCCAGUGACAGUGAUGUGCAGAAAUCCACCCUCUACCUUUUUUUUUUUUCCCCUGCAUCAAAUUCUUCAUUUUUGCAGCAUGUGAGUCAACUUGUAAAAAUGACUCACAAGCUCAUUCCAGCCUUCUGAAUUGGGAGCCCAAUUAAAAUACUACUUGUAAUGCACAUAUUGAAGAGAGCGAAAAGUGUCUGCUCCUGUGUGUCAGGCAUUAGCAUAGCAUAUCUGAAGAUCUGUCUUGAGCUAGUCUGGUACUUGCCAGCAGGAAACCUUGUGUUUAAUUAAUGUAUAAGUAACAGGAAAAAAAAGUAUUUUGAAAAUCUACUUCGUAAAAAAUAUAAUGGAACUAUAAAUUUGAUUAAUUAUAAAUACAUCAAAGUUUAUUUUAAUUUGUUUAUUUAUUUAUUUAAAAUGACAUAGUUGGAUAGAAUGUUUUAUUUAUAAAGCAGUGAAGAGGUUGUUUUUCUGCAGGGGUGCAGUGCCUGGCAAUCAGCUUCUGCUGCUGCUGGUCUGAUUGUUGAAUAGCCGAUGUCUUCAGUUUAACUUGGUGCCCUGUUGGGCAGGUGCUCCCUGUAAAACUGCAGGGCUGAUUCUUAACAAUACCAGUCUUUAGCCUUCAAUAAGCCUUUACAUCAGGGCUGGCCAAUCUUUCUGAUGUUAUCACCCAUGUACCAAGAUCCUCUCUGGAAGGUCAUGUCAUGGGAGAAAUGGCAACAGCUGUACUGCAGCACCAGGACGGAGUUUGGGUGCACCGCAGGUCCCCGAGUGACUCAGUAGUGUCAGCCUCAGCUUUCCUGAUGCAUUUCUUUUCACAGGUGAGGCUCAGACAGUUGUGCUGCAGGUCAUGUUAACGUAGUCCCAGCAUCAGACUUGUAUUUUGACUGGUGGUAAGUCCUAUGUAGUCCAAAAUUGCUACUCAUCUCCACCAGUGUUUCAUCAGCAAUCAGUUUUUUUGCCAGCAGGCAAAAGACUCCAGAGAGAGCAUGCAGGGUGAAAAACAUUUCAUCCAUGCUUGACAGACAUGCUUGUCUGUGGUAUUCACAUGUAGCCCUUUAACUAAGAUUACUUCCUGGCAUAUAUAUCACAGCCCUUUUAGCUCCAAGUUAUUUCUAUGGCAUCACAGUGAACCUUGGGCAAGGAGGUGAGAUCUGCAGCACAAGGCAAGGCGUCUGUCUAGAUGAAACACUCAAGGAAAAGGUGUUUGUGUGUGAUUGCUGCCUGGUGUUAGCUCCUCUGUCCAGCCAUGGCCCUCUAUUUCAGAGGCUUUGCGUGGCUGAUGCAGAAGAGAGGCUGUACCUAGGCACUUACCCAAAUUCUCCUUCCUGCUUCCAUACCACCAAUUUAUUCCACAAAUUUAUGCCCAGUUUAACAAAUGGUGAGUAUAAAUUGCAAGGCCUGAAACCUGGUAGUACCAUGAUACCAGCUUCCUCUUGUUGAGCAACAAAACCAGCCUCAUGUUAAAGCGAUUCACUGGCAAAAGCGACACCUUUAAAUUAAAAAUAUAUAAAAUAAACAGCUAUUAUUGCUUCAGUUCCUAUUGAAAGGGAGAAAAUAAAAGCUGGUCACAUGUUGUGGAACUACAUGCACAGAAAUACAUUUGUCUUCAAAUGCAAGUCUAAUAAAUGUAGGAAUGAAGCCUGGUCUUUGUCCUAGCAAAGCUCAUACAAACCAAAUGUGCACAUGUUGUGCACACCGCUUAUCAGUAUGUAAAUAACAUAUAUGAAUAAUUGCCAGUAGGUGGUAGUGUGUGUUUUUCAGAUAACUUUGUAAGCUAGAACUGCAAGUGUUUCAUGUUUGAGGUGAUUUAGAAAUAUCCUGUCAUCUUUAAUGUAUGAUCUUAAAACAUCGUUGCUUUGAAUUCAGUCCCUGAUCUCACUGAUUUAAUAGUUCUGUUUCACAAACACCAGUGCAUCUCAGAGAGGUGUAUUUUGAUUUUUUUUUCAAGUUUAUGGGCAGACCUGACUGGAAACAUUUUGAAAAGUGCCAAUUAGCAUAAGCCCUGAGAAUUCAAAUAUGUGCAUUUGUUGGAAUGACUGCAUUGCUCCCUAGUGUUUCAUUUUAGGAGGUGAGCUUUUGAUAAAUAAAUACAUUAUUUUAAUGAUUUAGGAGUUUAGAAUUUCUCUUCACAGAAGCUGUUCUGAUAAUUCCUGAAAGAGCUCACUGGAAGAGGAGCAGCGCAGUUUUACUGGGCAUCUACUUCUUUGCAGUGCCUCAUUGUGCUUUGCAAAGACAGCAAAAAAGCGAGCAGCUGGGAAAGACCGGGGGGUUUGGUGGCUCCUUGCUGACAGUAAUCUGUACCAAAUUAAUGGUAUUUCCCCAGCUCAUCACACGGGAAGAGAUGCCCAUCCUCCUGUGAGAGCAGUUACUGAGGCUCCUACAAGCAUGUCCCAGGCUGGGCAUUCAUCCUUCCUCAGGUAACGACCAAAGCAUUCCUCAGCCAGCUGGCCUCUUGCUGCCUUUGCUGUGUUUUUGGGAAGGGACUGGGUUUUUGUUUGGCGGAAGAAGGGGAUGCCAGUGGUAAGGACUCUUUCUGUGGUGUUGCCUGCCAGGAAGCGAGGCAGAGGUCGGGAAAGGCGCUAUAAAUAUUUCUGCAGUAACUCAAAGGCGGUUAGCGUUUUGGUUCAUUUGUUUUUCCUGGGGUGUGUGAGACUGCUCUCCUCUGUGCAGGUGUCUCAUUCACGUGGGGUUUCCUUUUUCUUUCUUUUCCUACUUAUUUCCUGCCUCUGCAAUUGUUGCUUGCACUUUGCAGCACUUUUACUCAGCCCGUCACUCCCACUGAAUGCUAUCAGGCUAUUUGUGCAAAUGUUUUUCGUCAUGAAUAUGGUCUGCAGAGUCAGACCUUUUGCUUCUUCCUUCUGCUGGUAACCUGUCCCUCCCAAGUUUCCUUUCUCAUUGUUUUUCCUUUCACUUAUGUCUGCCUGCUGUUGGAGUGAGCUUGCAGAGAAGGAAGUGGGGGAGGGCUGCUUCUGCCUUUCGGUGUGAAUAGCUGCGCAAUUUAUAAUUUCUCGAGCAGAUUAAGCUCUUGUUUGCAUACACUCAGGCUGAGGGAGAACCACCCAUUGCCAGGUGAAGUUAAUGUGCUUGUGGAACCAGUGCUCACAAGUGACAGUGGCAGGAAUAGCAGUGAAAGUAAGGGAGGAGUACUGGGGCCUACCCAAAGACAGAAUUAGCGUCGCCCAGAAGGGCUGUGCUUUCUGUCAGAAAGCAAUACUUGUGGCUCCUAUUAAAGAAAUAAAAUGUGAUAUAAAUAGGUUUUGGGGGUAAUCCUGUGAGCUUGCGGCCUGCGUCCCCUCAUGCAGCCUCAUCUAACCACUCUGGGACAGAGGUGAGGCAUAGUUAACCUUCCCUGUUUGCCUUCCUGUACUAUCUAUCUAUUGUUCUUAACCUCUUCUCAUGGGACCUAAAUUGACUGUGCUGUGGAUGGAAUCUGAUUUUGCUAAGAAAUUACUCUUAUUGACUGGAAACGGUAUCAAGUUAGACAUCCAAAGCUGGAGUCCAUUCAGAGAAUGCUGACUGUAGUAUUUCUGUUCAGCUUUCUGUGUUUCAAAUGGUAACUGUUAGAGGUAAACUCCAAUAAGAGAGAUCAGUGCUACGCUGAUGUGUGUCCUCACCAAUAUAUAAAUGUGCCUGUCAGUAUACUGAUAACAGAAAAUAGAUUAGUGAGAGUGGGUUUCAUGCUAGGAGACUGAGUUUCUUGAGAAAUGUAGACUACCAAAGGGAAGAUUCUCAGGGAUGGAAGCUGGCGGUAGCAUGUGGAAGGAAAAAAACCAUGAAUUCAGUAGCAGAGAAGGGUUAUAGAAAUGAGAACAGAGAUAUUAACUAAGCAAAUGAAAUCAGUGAUGCUGGAGGCUUUUGUGUUUUGUCUGUACAGAAACAAAUAGUUCAUCCUGGACCAACUGUACCUCUGCUGGGUGGUGUUCUUAGUGCACUGGUAACAUCGUGCUGGGUUGUGCUAGGUCUCAACACUCCUCUGAGCUGUCAAUUCAGAAUUGAGGAGAAGAGUGGGAGGUAGCUUUAUCUAAGUGCACACAAUAUAUAAUCUGUGAAUGAAUACAAAGUGUGAGCUAGAUAGGACGUUAUUCCUGUAACAGGACCAACUCAUCAUCAUUACAGAACUCUUAAAAAAAAAAAAAAAAAAAAAAGAUUCCUUCUCCAAAUAGAUAUAAAAUGGGGUUGUGCUCAUAAAUGUGCUUCAUUUCAUGCACACUGCCUUUGCUCCCUAUAAUUUUCCUUGAAUAUGGCUGAACUGUCUUUGUCCUUGUCUACAUAAUCUCAGAGUGGGGGUAACAUUAAUGCUUUUCAUCAGAACCCCAAAGUGCUCUUCUGGAUUCUGUUCACGCUCUUGAGAUCAAUCUCAUCAGCUUUCACCAAACACCUUUGCUUCCUGUUGGAGACAGUGCAAGUUAAAAGUACAACUGAGGGCUUGGGUUUGUUAUCCAAAGUAUAAUUUUGAUUGAGAUUUACUAAAAGGCAGUAAAAGUGGAAGCAUAAUAUGCCUUUUUCAGAGUCCCUUCUCAGUGAUUGUCAUUUGAGGAAUGAGGAUGUUGAAUUUGCCACGUUGCACAAAGUUAUGGCAGCUGUUCCAUAUCGCUAGAUUGGAAAUUAAAAUGGAGAUCUAUUCAAAUUGUCUGACACUUCCAGCAAGCUUGAAAGCAAUGCUUUAAAAUAUAACAGAACUCUAAUUUGGGUCCUAAAAGAUACUCAGUAACACUGAAAGCAAACUUCUUACUUUUUCCAAAUGGUCUUGGACUGCUUUUUUGUGUCUUUUCCUCUGCCUUGCUAAAGCCUGCUUUCCACAACAGCCAUGUGAUCCAGCUGAAGUCAACAGGAUUCCUGAGGAUGUUAAAGACCAAAACCUAGACUAGAAUAGUUCAGUAGGUCUAGUCUGUUAUGACAAUAAAUAUUUUCAGGAAUGCUUAAGCUAUGCUAACCUUUAAAAAAAGAAUGUUUCACAUUUCUUUUUCUUUCUUCAUAAAUGUGUGGUGCCUGAAUCUUCUUAAUAGUUUCUUCAUCUAAAGAUAAGACUGGAUUUAUCUGUAUCUAUAGACAGUAAUGCAAUCUCUUAGUUUAGGAAUUUGUAGAGGUCAGACUUUGCCUGUCAACACACAGUCAAACCUAACUUUUGAUCCUAGUUCGGCUGCUUUAGUAACACUAAGUUUAUGAAGGCUAGAAAAACCCAUCUAGGAAAUGAAAUUCUUUGAAACAAGCACAAUGCCAGACCUGUGCUUUGGAACUCAAAGCAGAGUUUAGCCAGCCUGAGCUGUUGUCACCAGAAAAUAUUAUUUAAAUCUAUGGAUGUUUUUAUCUAGUAAUUCUUAUUCCAAAGAAAGAAUGCACUGUUGACAACUCUUAGCAUUUGCUUUGUUGUCCUGUAUAUGCCAGUUCAUCACUCAUACUGAGCAUUAAUCACUGUGGUAAAUGUACCAUUGUGAUCUGUUCAGGAAAUACUUGUCAAGGCUUUAUAAAAGCACUCCAUAAAAAAUCAGACAAAAGUAGUCUAUUUUUUUUCCUUGUGGGUGAAAUUCACCUGCCCAGAGCUCAAAUAAAUACAUGACAGACUCCUGCUAGCACAACUCCCGUCCCACUGCUAUCUGUUCAGUUUUGCUUCCCACACAUCCUGUAAUGACAAAGAUAAUCUCUUCUAAAAUGCCAUUUGCUUUUCAGGGUGGCACUGGAAACUAUUAAGGACUCAAUGGGCACUGGAAAGAGCAAUGUGUUAUUGAUUAAUCUGCCCUCUGAAUGAACUCUGGUGGAGAGCAGUAUUUCCAAAAUUCUAGAUGAAAGAAUUUGUGUACAAAUAAUGGCAGGAUGAGUGCUCUCUGGGAUGAUAUGACUACAUAAAUAAGCAGUUCUUCAGUGCAGCAUGUGGUUUUCUAAUUUCCAGUAAAAUGGAAUGAAUCACACAUGACAACACCAUUGCCACUAACCAGUGUGGCAUGGCAUCUGAGAAAGAUAGCACUGGAAGGGUGUGAACUGGAGAGCAGAUGAUGGGGCUUGAAACAUCUUGUUUGCUUUGGCAGCAUAACCAAAAUCUUGAUGCUUUCCCACAAUCUGCUCCAAGGAUGUAGGUUUUGCUGUGCUGUAUCAGAUUAUUACUCUGGGAAUUUGUGUGUCCUGCCUUUGCCAAUGGACAGCUCUUGAUGCUUCAGAUAAAGAUAAAUGCCCAGACUACCCACAGGGGAAUUCCAAAGUUAGAUGAUGUUUCUUCAUGUAGGGUUUACAUUACUGCAGAAUUACCAGGGGAGGUUUUCUCUCUCUCCCCCUACCAAAUCAUAAAGGAUACAUCUUCUCUGUCAGGCAAACAAAGGUCCAAGACUGCUGUCAAGUCCAGGCUCACAUACCAUGCAUAUUAACCAUAUGUAAGUACAUGCUGUGGUAUGGGCCUUAGGCCGAGUUCACUCCUGAGGGGGAAGUCUUAGCCAUAGCUAUGUUGUAGCCCGGUCCCAAGCUUUUCCACCUUAAAGGUGGGGCCUGGGUGCCCCAAAGGUGGGGAGUAGGGUACACAGCAGCCCCCAGGGAACAGCUCUAGCUGCCUCCCCUUUCCCUGAGCACCACCUGAGUGAAGAGAGCCCCAGGCAGGCCGAGAACCAGCGCUGGGGCCUGUGGCCAUGGGCUUCGCUGGCUGGAGCACUCUCUUUGGGAGCACUCUCUUUGUUUUGUAGAGGUGGCAGCAGUUCUCAGGAGAUCUGCUAAAGGCGAACAGACAGCAGUCCCUUUGACAUCCCUGCAGUGCCAGUGCAGCUUCACAGGAGCAGAACUCCCUGUCCACCGCUGCUGCUGAGCCCUAGAUGUGAGAAGAGAUGAUACUGAGUUUCAAAAGAUGGGGGGCCAAGUUAGAGGGAUUAAAAACAGCCCCCUCCUCUUUAUUUCUGCUCUUGUGCUUCCUGAGCCAUGUAUCAAAUCUUCUGAUGCCAGAACACAGGAAAAACUGAAAGUUGUCCUGCAGCCUACCCCCAGCAAAACUGGAUGCAUCUGUUCAAAAGCGCUGAAAAUGACCCAGCACGCACUCUUAGACCCUGCAGUGGGGCGUUAAGGUUGUUGACUUGGUGGUUAUGAAUGACUUGGGCUUUGUUGGAUCUAUUACAUGAGAAUGACACCAGGCAUUUUUUCUUUUGAGGGUUUCUCAGAAUGAAUACUUGUUAAAGCCGGGGUGGGAGAAGGACACGAGUAAUUCUUUUUCUCCUUCUGACACAUUCCCAAACACAGCACUUGUGAGUGCUAUAUUUAGGCAGAGUUAAUGAUGAUCUAAAUGUCCAGCAGACAUGUAUUUGCAUUUGUUUAUGUUGUUCCCCCCCCAUCAACAUGGUCCAUACUAAGGGCUCAGUAAAAGCAGUAGCCUAAGCUGCAGUUUAAAAUGUCCUGUAGAUGGAGAUUUGCUGUGACAGAAAUGCCUGUCGUCCUGGCAGUUCCUCACAGCUGCUGGAGGCAGAAGAGUAUGUGAAACAAUAACUCUGCCAGCAGAUGUGGUUCUGUAGGGACAGUAGUGUCUGUGGUACGAAAAUUCCCUCCCAAAAUACAGAUCUGUAGGGACAGUAAGUGUCUGUGUCAGGGACAACUUUGCAGCAUCUGCUGGGACAGUGAAGUCUGUGAUACAUAAACACAUCUCUGCAUCUGCUGGGUCAGUCAGAGAGAGAUGUAUUGUAUAUGUCUGGUUUUAGAUGUGCAAAUCCCCUUCACUUUCCUUUAAUCUGGGGAAUUUGUUUGAUUCUUCUUCCCACAGAGCAAAUAAGAACCAUCUGAUGCAAAAGAGCUAGAGGUAUUUGUGAGUCUUUUCCAUGUAGGAGAGGCAUUGCCACAUUUCAGCUGCCAAGAAAUACUGCUACAUUCUCUCCUACCAUAGCAUUAAUCAUUAAUGGCUUUGUUCUCAAUGAACAGUCUGAGUAUCUUCAAUGAUACUCUUGUGAGUGCUAAUGCUUUGUGGCUGCAGUGAGACCAUCACAUGAGAAAUCUGUUUGUUUAGAGCAGCGAUGCGCCACAAACACAGCAUUCUGACUUAGGCCAUAUUUCAAACAUUUCUAAGUACAGGUAUAUGAAGAUUUAAAAAAUUAUUUUGGGCUCAUCUCUAGUUUAGGCACCAGACGUGGGUUAGGAAGGAUUGCACUGGAGACAGUCAAUUUUCCAGCAGAAGCAACUCCAUUCAGAUGUCAGGGUAUCUUGCUGCAACAAAGGCUGAUGUUGACAUUUUUCUUGGAUGGAGACAGAUGCAAGAGCUUCUGCCUCAAGGUUAUCCAUUAUACAGUAUAUUAACUAGAUGUUUUAACAUUGUGCUUCCUGCGGAGACAGAAAUGAAUGAUGAUUAAUACUUAUCAAUUAAAAUCUAAUCUUUUCCCUUGUGUAUUUAUAUGCUGAACUUCAACCUACAAGGCAAUUCUGUGACAAGAAUUAGAUAUUCUUUUAUUGGAGAGCACUGGAGUUAUGGUCAGGGAUACAAUAUUCAUUCAUUUAUUAUGAAUACUGCAUUUGUGCCUAGAGUUUGCCUAGGCAUUUUAUAUAAAUAGUCUCUUACAAAGGAGUUCAUGAACAAUUAGCAUUAAAGGACAAUUGUUUUAUCUUUCUUAUAACAGCACUAAGAUUGGAGAGGUAGAGGAAGCAAAGGUUAUACAUGUUUUAUGGCCAUAAUUAUAAUUAACUAUUUCAGAGAUUAAAGUAAAUUAAAAUGUAAUUAUAAUGUACUAUUUCAGAGACUAAAACUGAUGAAUAAAACUCAGUUCUGUGACCUAUCUCACAAAUCUAUAGCUUAUCCAGCUUAGUCUAAACAGGAAAUCUUUUUUUUUUUUUUUUUUUUUUUCCUUAUUAAAUCUAGCUGCUGUUUAAUAGACAGUGCCCACACGUGUGAUAGGUGCCUUAUAGACUUGAGACGCUGCGUCGCAGGCUGAAUGAACACUGGCCCAAGGGCCCUGGUAACAAAGAGCUCCAAUCCUGCAGCCGCGUGCGCAGGAGAGCUCCGCUGGGAGGCCUGCAUGCGGAGCAGCCAGGAAGGCUGGCCUCUAAAUAUGCGACGGGAGAGCAAAGGAAAGGCAGAACGGGUUUUCAGAUUUGAACUCUGGUCGGCUCGACUGUUGAACGCCAUUUAGCUCAGAUAUACAGUGCGAUAACCUUUGUUCUUAAGCGAGAGGCAGAAUGGAGCACUGAAUGAAAGAGGCCACUUAGACUCCAGGUGGAGGGUUUUAAAGUGAACAAGUGAUCCGGCUGGUUACUUCUGAUUUAUUAUAAAGGCAUCUUUAUGCAUUUUGAAUUGCCUACCAUCAGUCAUGUCAAAUAAAACUGCAUUCUUAUAAGGCAGUUCAUCCCCUACAAACAUGCACGCUCUAAUCACUGAUGUCAAACUAACAGCAAAUGUGUAUGAAGAAAAUAAAGCCUAUGGUGACUAUUGCAAAAAUCUUUUUCAUUUUAAUGUACUAGAAACAACCAUUCUAGUAAAGUCAUUAGUAAUUGACAUAAAUUUACAUUACAGCAUCAAUAUUUUUUGGAGCCUGAUUGUGACUGUUAAAGGUCUGAGAUUCAUUCUGCAUUGGGGUAAAAUUGCUUUUCACAAGGUGUCCCAGAAGAUCUUUGUUUUAAAAAAUAUAUGUAUUUUGCAAAUGAAUUUUUUAACAGGGAGAGGUGUAGAAUUACAGGUAUUAAAGUACACGUGAGGAAGAUCAUCAGCAUCACCUCCCUGUUUGUAUUUCUUGACGUGACAGUCCAUAUCACAAGGGAAAAAGGCACUUCUACAUCUUCCUUACCCCUGAGCCUGCUUCCAUCUCAGAGAGGCAUCACAAAGUCUCUCACUAAUCUAUCUCCAUUUUAUUUCUUGUAGUCUAUUAACACACCUAUGCUGUUUUGAGAGACCUCUCCCCACCCUUCAUCAAAAACCACCCAAAAUGCUUGGAAUGAGUGGCAUGAAAAUAAUAAACAUUUUCAGCUGCCUUUCAGAUUCUGGAUGAAUUGUUUGUAAACAUCUUGUCUCAAACCAUCAAGAGGCGGAGCUAGCAUCACUGAAAGAUGAUAAAUUCCGACACGGCGCUCCGAGAUUUCACGGCCACUGAAUGUAGGUUAAUAUGGGAUUCAAUAGGAAAUCUGGCUUUUGUGUUGAUACAUAUUACGAAGGAACUUGUCAUUUGUCUGCAGAUUGCUAAUUGCUGCUUAUUGCACAAGCAAGAGGUUAAUUUGGGUAUGUUAUGACAGUAAUCAUGUGCACCAUCUUAAAAUAUAUAUACUCAUAAUCUGAUUGAUAAUGUGUCCUGUGGGAUUUGGGACAUUGUUUUGUAAGAUUAUGCAAAGAAGAACUUUACAGUAAAUGCUGUCACAGUAGGCAGUAGUGUCCUUGAGUGCAGGCACAUGGGAUAGAGUGGAGUCGCGAGUCUGGUAUGAAAUACCUUUUUCCUUGCCCCUUAAUUUAGUCAUUCCCAGAGAUGUGUGAUUUAUUCUUUGUGAUGAUACACUGAAAACAGAGGUCCCAUCUAUUCUAAAUGAAAACGAUAUCCUAUUCUUAUUAUUGUUAAUGCUUUGUAUUCAGAGUAGCAUUUAAAGGCCUCGGAUUAAUUCGUGACCUCUUCAUGCUCGGAGUUGUAUGUACACAUGCAGUAAGCUCACUGCCCCAAAGACCUUACACUUUAAUUAAAUAAAGGUUGGAGGAAGGAAGUUUUAUUACCUCUGCCACAAAUGGGAAAUGAUAAGAGAGAGAAACUAAAAGGACUGAGAAUUACACUCCUCCUGCAAUAAGUCCUGUAUUUGCCUGUAAUAUAUCCUCCCUUCCUGCUUUUGUUAAGCUGCUGUAAAUUGGUAGAUGGUUGGUCUCUUCCCCAGAGAUGGAGCUUACUAUAAUUCUGCAUAAUUUUCAAGGUUGUAUGGGAUGAAAGGAGUUACAGAUAGAUAACCCUUUAAUUUAUAUCUGAUCAAGUUAUUCUGAAGAAAUACUUCUGUGGAAUAAGUUCAUGCAUAUGAAUCUUGCAUGCAUUGCUUGCUGCCACGUGAGCAUGCUAUUGCAUAGAUUCUGUAUUCCCAGUGGUGUGUGCAGUUGGUGUGUACAUGUUUUAAGGUAUGCCGGUAUAACUUUUCAAUUGUUUUUGUUAUCUCCAGUAGUUUGCUCUUAAAAGUUUUCAAAAAUAUUAAAAAAAAAAAAAAAAAAAGUAAUAUUCCUCAAGAUACUGGACUAUUCCACAGGAUUCAUAGGAGACUUAAAACACCAGUGCACACUUAGUCUCGCAGAAAUGCAUCUCCUUCUCCCCUCCGGGAAUCUUAUUCUAUAGAAAGGGCUGAAAUUAAUUUUAAACAUUUUUAAUUAGAGCUUCCAGCUUAACAUCAAAAAAUAAAGCUAGAUCAGUACAGAUCUUGCUUUGAGAAUAAAAUUUUCCCUGUAGAGGAACAUAAGCCUGAAGAUAACUUGUUUUCCUUUUACUUAUAGACAGUACAUGGAUGUUCAGCAUAGUGAUCUUGGGCAGAAGCCCUGACAGUUUUAGAUAUGAUGGGAAGUGGGGGAGAAAAACAAAACAAAACAAAAACACAAGGAACAGGUAAAUUCCAAGCACACCCAACCACUAUCUUUGUAUCACACCCAACCAUUAUCUUUGUAUUUUAGUAUUUCUGCCAGUCACUGCUGUAUGUCAACAGCAGUAAUCCUCUAUAAUGACGUGUCUCUGCCUCAUGGGUACAGCCCCUCAUUUCUGUCUUGUCCUGCCCCUAUCUGGGAAAUGGGAACAGUUAUUUUCUUGCAGAUUUUGGAUUCCCUGAGUUAAAAGACUACAGAGAAGCAGACUUCUUUUUGAAAUGUAUUUAAUAAAGAGCAUUAUUUCUAUUGCUGUCAAA
Molecule: long non-coding RNA, 17731 nt
Organism: Oxyura jamaicensis (ruddy duck)
Lineage: Eukaryota; Metazoa; Chordata; Aves; Anseriformes; Anatidae
Exons: 3
Source: RefSeq, a predicted model, not a curated record